AUUAUGAUGCGUGGUCUGAUCAAUUCGAUUUGGAAAGCAAUGAUACAGAUUUUGAGACAUCUUUAGAGCACGCCGAAUUGGCGUUGCAGUAUUUUUUUUAAAACCAAUUCGACGAAGCACGAAAUAUUUUGCAACCAUUAGCCGACAUAAGCUUACAUCAUUCUUUAAGAUGUGCAGUAUUUUCUUCUUUUUAGGCUGUGCUAUCCUUCGAAAAUGUAGACGCUGCGUCGGCGAAAAUAAAAAAAAUAUAUAGACCUUUGUAAAUUAUUCCGAAAAAAGAAUACUAUAACGGAAUUCAUAGCCUGCACUUUCAAGAAGGUAUUUAUCCAGCGGAAAACACAAUGUUUCAUUUCCUAAGGCUUCUUCAGAAAAACUAUUCCCAGCUUACAGACCAGGAAUGCCAUGCUGAGCUAUGUUUAGCAGAGGCUCUAUUGAUGAACGCUCUCUUAAUAUUCAUAAUCUGAUAAUCUGAUAAUCUUGGUGGUGUGAUACGCUGUAGCCUCAAAGUACGGCAAUGCUAUGGUGCUUUCAGAGCAUGUGAGCAAAUAAUGAAGUCUCGUGUGUGGAUCUUGGACGCGGACAAGGACUCCGCGACGUCUAAAACUCAUUUUGACAGUGGAGUGUACAUGGGGUUUGGAACGUUCAACCCUAUGAUAUCUAUAUUACCUGGACGUAUACUAAAAAUAAUUAAAAUCAUUGAAUUUUCGGGCAGCAAGCCGCGGUCAAUUUGACGUGCAGAACACAGACGACUUCUGCUAGUACUAGUAGCGACCCUGACAUAGAGGAUCUAAUGCUUGAAGUUCCCGCAUUUCAACAAAGAAUAUCUGGUAAAUCGCUACCAAUGGAUAAGUUUAUGAUUAAGCGAGCCAUUCGUUUUGGAGCACAAAACGGAAAUCUUGUGCCCCCGCUUAUAGAAUUAAUGUAUCUGUGGAAUAUAUUAAAAUUGUUUAAAGCGAAGGUGUUUAUCACCUGACAAACAAGACGGACAGACGUACUCUUCGAGUACGGGGUAUAACAAUCAAGCCAUUUACAUGCUACAGGAUACCAAAAAAAAGUUUUCGCAUUAUUCGUUAGAGCCUCGGCUGCACCUGAGGAUACACAUGGCGUUAAUGAAUUUAAAUGAUAAUACAGAAGAGGAAUUUUAAAUUCAGGAUUUUUUGAACUUUUUUUUAUGCCUGGAGUA
Molecule: long non-coding RNA, 1183 nt
Organism: Drosophila guanche
Lineage: Eukaryota; Metazoa; Arthropoda; Insecta; Diptera; Drosophilidae
Exons: 4
Source: RefSeq, a predicted model, not a curated record